ACCCGUUGAUCCUGCGGGAGGUCGCUGCUAUCAGGAUUCGACUAAGCCAUGCAAGUCAAGGGGAUUCUUCGGAAUCACCGGCAAAAUGCUCAGUAACACGUCGAUAAUCUGCCCUUAAGUCUGGGAUAACCUUGGGAAACUGAGGCUAAUAUCGGAUAGGAGAUCUAUACUGGAAUGUAUUUUCUCUGAAAGAUUACGCUUAAGGAUGAGUUGGCGGCGGAUUAGAUAGUUGGCGGGGUAAUGGCCCACCAAGUCUACGAUCCGUAGGGGCCUUGAGAGAGGUAGCCCCGAGAAGGACACUGAGAUACUGGUCCUAGCCCUAAGGGGUGCAGCAGGCGCGAAACCUUUACAAUGCACGAAAGUGUGAUAAGGGGAUCCUGAGUGCUCAUGGAAAACAUGGGCUUUUGUCAAGAGUAAGUAUCUUGGCGAAUAAGUGGUGGGUAAGACUGGUGCCAGCCGCCGCGGUAACACCAGCGCCACGAGUGGGGACCACGUUUAUUGGGCCUAAAGCGUCCGUAGCCUGUUUGUUAAAUCUCUUGUGAAAUCGUAGGGCUUAACCUUACGGCUGGCAAGAGAAACUGGCAGACUUGGAACCGGGAAGGGCAUGAGGUAUUCCUAGGGUAGCGGUAAAAUGUUAUAAUCCUAGGAGGAUCACCUGUGGCGAAGGCGUCAUGCUAGAACGGAUUCGACGGUGAGGGACGAAAGCCAGGGGAGCGAUCCGGAUUAGAUACCCGAGUAGUCCUGGCUGUAAACGCUGCGAGCAAGGUGUUGCGUAAUCUUCGCGAUUGCGCAGUGUCGAAACGAAGGUGUUAAGCUCGCCGCCUGGGAAGUAUGGUCGCAAGACUGAAACUUAAAGGAAUUGGCGGGGGAGCACUACAAGGGGUGCGGCGUGCGGUUUAAUCUAAUUCAACGCAGAGAAUCUCACCAGAAGCGACGGCAGGAUGAAAGUCAGAUUGAUGGUUUUACUUGACGAGCCGAGAGGUAGUGCAUGGCCGCCGUCAGCUCGUGCCGUAAGGUGUCCUCUUAAGUGAGGUAACGAGCGAGACCUGCAUCCACAAUUGCCAGCAACAGAUUUUUCUGGAUUGGGCACAUUGUGGGGACUGCCCGGGAAACUGGGAGGAAGGCGCAGGCAACGGUAGGUCUGUAUGCUCCGAAUCUUCUGGGCUACACGCGCGCAACAAUGGUAAGGACAAUGGGACACAACUCCGAAAGGAGAAGUUAACCCUCUAAACCUUAUCUAAGUCUAGAUCGAGGAUUGUAACUCAUCCUCGUGACACUGGAAUCCCUAGUAAUCGUUCCUCAUCAUAGAACGGUGAAUAUGUCCCUGCUCCUUGUACACACCGCCCGUCAAACCACUCGAGCAGGGUUUAGGUGAGUAUCAGCUUUUUGGUUGGUCCGAACCUAAGCUCAGUGAGAUGGGUUAAGUCGUCACAAGGUA
RNAcentral lists this ribosomal RNA (1438 nucleotides) under metagenome. Its description in RNAcentral is "bacterial SSU rRNA". It matches the Rfam family "Archaeal small subunit ribosomal RNA". The record is from RNAcentral.